CCUACGGGAGGCAGCAGUAAGGAAUAUUGGUCAAUGGACGCAAGUCUGAACCAGCCAUGCCGCGUGAAGGAUUAAGGUCCUCUGGAUUGUAAACUUCUUUUAUUUGGGACGAAAAAGGGCCUUUCUAGGUCAACUGACGGUACCAGAUGAAUAAGCACCGGCUAACUCCGUGCCAGCAGCCGCGGUAAUACGGAGGGUGCAAGCGUUAUCCGGAUUCACUGGGUUUAAAGGGUGCGUAGGCGGGUAGGUAAGUCAGUGGUGAAAUCCUGGAGCUCAACUCCAGAACUGCCAUUGAUACUAUUUAUCUUGAAUAUUGUGGAGGUAAGCGGAAUAUGUCAUGUAGCGGUGAAAUGCUUAGAUAUGACAUAGAACACCUAUUGCGAAGGCAGCUUACUACGCAUAUAUUGACGCUGAGGCACGAAAGCGUGGGGAUCAAACAGGAUUAGAUACCCUGGUAGUCCACGCCCUAAACUAUANAUACUACACAUNUGUAUACACAUAAUAGU
RNAcentral lists this ribosomal RNA (506 nucleotides) under uncultured bacterium. RNAcentral's name for it is "bacterial SSU rRNA". It matches the Rfam family "Bacterial small subunit ribosomal RNA", at positions 338 to 841 of the family's 1533-position model. The record is from RNAcentral.